CAGGACGAACGCUGGCGGCGUGCCUAACACAUGCAAGUCGAGCGAGGAGAUCCUUCGGGAUGAUCCUAGCGGCGGACGGGUGAGUAACACGUGGGCAACCUGCCUCAUAGAGAGGAAUAGCCUUCCGAAAGGGAGAUUAAUACCUCAUAACAUUGCAGUUUCGCAUGGAACAGCAAUUAAAGGAGCAAUCCGCUAUGAGAUGGGCCCGCGGCGCAUUAGCUAGUUGGUGAGGUAACGGCUCACCAAGGCGACGAUGCGUAGCCGACCUGAGAGGGUGAUCGGCCACAUUGGGACUGAGACACGGCCCAGACUCCUACGGGAGGCAGCAGUGGGGAAUAUUGCACAAUGGGGGAAACCUGACGCAAGCAACGCCGCGUGAGUGAUGACGGCCUUCGGGUUGUAAAGCUCUGUCUUCAGGGACGAUAAUGACGGUACCUGAGGAGGAAGCCACGGCUAACUACGUGCCAGCAGCCGC
RNAcentral lists this ribosomal RNA (475 nucleotides) under uncultured bacterium. Its description in RNAcentral is "bacterial SSU rRNA". It matches the Rfam family "Bacterial small subunit ribosomal RNA", at positions 25 to 518 of the family's 1533-position model. The record is from RNAcentral.